UUCGGUGGCUAUGGCGGUGGGGUCACACCCGUUCCCAUUCCGAACACGGAAGUUAAGCCCACCAGCGCCGAUGGUACUUGGGAGGAGACUCCCUGGGAGAGUAGGACGCCGCCGGAG
This 117-nucleotide ribosomal RNA is filed under the name Actinomycetota bacterium. Lineage: Bacteria; Bacillati; Actinomycetota. The record is from RNAcentral.